UACGAGGGGGGCAAAUGUUGUUCGGAAUCACUGGGAGUAAAGGGAGCGUAGGCGGGUUCUUAAGUUAGGUGUUUAAUCCCGGGGCCCAACCCCGGACCGGCACUUAAAACUGGGAAUCUUGAAUAGUGGAGAGGUCGGUGGAAUUGGAGGUGUAGCGGUAGAAUGCGUAGAGAUCUCCAAGAACACCAGUUGCGAAGGCGGCCGACUGGACACAUAUUGACGCUGAGGCUCGAAAGCAUGGGGAGCAAACAGG
This 253-nucleotide ribosomal RNA is filed under the name uncultured bacterium. Its description in RNAcentral is "partial 16S ribosomal RNA". It matches the Rfam family "Bacterial small subunit ribosomal RNA", at positions 524 to 776 of the family's 1533-position model. The record is from RNAcentral.